GCCUCCAGAGUAGCUGGGACUACAGGCGCCUGCCACUACGCCUGGCUGAUUUUUUGUAUUUUUAGUAGAGACAGGGUUUCACCGUGUUAGCCAGGAUGGUCUUGAUCUCCUGAUCUCGUGAUCCGCCCACCUCGGCCUCCCGAAGUGCUGGGAUUUCAGGCGUGAGCCACCGCGCCGGGCCCACGGAUGGAUUCUUAAGCAGUUGCCAUACAAUGUGCUGUGCAAUCAUUGCACACCCUCAAUGACCAGAUUUCCCAUUUUAUUGUCACCAAGUCGAAGGCACUGGAGGAGGACAAAGACCCUUUUCUACCCACUGAGAAGGAGACUCUGAAGAGUUCCAUGAUAUUGAUGAGGCACCUCUUAAUGGAUGCUCAGAAGUCAUCCAUAAACACAUGGACAAUGAAUUCAUUUCAAUGCAUUUCCAAUGAUCCAGCAGGCUUCUGAAACCGUUCACCGAGCUCCUGGAACUCAUAACAGAGAUGUCAGCUGUGGAUGUUGAUGAAGCCCUAGGACUGUGUCGUCUUUCAUCAGAACAUUCUUUUAGAAGCCUUAAGAAGCAUGAUUGCUCUGCAGCCAAAGCUAGUUUUUUUUUUUUUUUAAUUUUAAAUAAGAAGAUAGAUCUAUGGGCCUUUGAGAAAAGGAUUCUCAUUUUAAAAAAUUAAUAAUACAACUUGUCUCCUCUGCUUUUCCACAUACUCACACAUCCCUAAAUUUUAGAAAGGAUAUGUCUGCUGCAUUUUCAUUCCUCUGCAUCAGCUACGGUUUUGUAACCUGGGUUGAAUUCAGCAUUCCUAGCUAGAAAAUAGUCAGCUGAGGAAAAGACUGCCAUCGUCUCUCCCACCUUGUCCAACUCAGUUAAACCCAUGUCGAAAGCAGAAUCUGCUUUCACUGUUGGAGGAAUAAAAUGCAAGCCAUGAUAUCAACCCUACAGAAGCAGAUUAUAUCUUGGAAUUUAAGGAUAUUUUAGAGGGCCUGACAACUUCCUAAAAUUGAAUUCAAACAUUUGAACAUGUAUACACUUGCAUUUUUAGGGAGUGAAGAUCCCUAGUUCUCACCAGAUUUGCAAAGAGGUCUGUGACCCCAGAAAAGGUUGGAAAAAAAACAAGCAAAUACGAUCCUGCAGUCAAGAUCAAACAUGCCCAUUUGCUGAACCAAAAUACAGGAUGCAUCAGCUGUCAAGACAAUAUUAAUUCUGAAGACAGGGAAAGGAAAGAUCUGAACUCAAGAUUACCCCAGUUAAUCUAGGGCAUAUGGCUAUCUGAAUUCUGGGGAAUGACAUAAGGGAAGUCUGCUCUCCCUUUUUUUUUUGUUUUCUUUUUUUUUAAUUCAUGACACUUUCACUGAUCAUUUGGAUGGCAGGGUAUCGCUAAGAACCAGGAUUAUAAAGAUGAACAGGCCUCAGGUCUGUUUUUAACAGGCUUAUAAUCUAUGGUAAGAGGCAAGGCAUUUAAUCUCCUUUGCUUCUACGAUUAUGGCUCACAUAUGUUUGCUCUGCUCUAAGAAAAAUGCAUCAGAAGCACCUUAGGUUUGGCAGGUAGGGGCUCUGAUGUUAACAGGAUUGGGUAGAGAAGCUCUUGAUGCUUCUGGAAACCCCAUGAGAGUUUAGAAAACACGAACCUUGUCCUUCCCUCUGGAAAGCACUCUCAUCUUUCCUGUCUGAUCACUGAGCCUCCUCCCCAGUCCAGGGAGGAAACAAUUUUUGUUGGAAGACAUUAAAUUGCUUGGCUGGCUGUUGUGGCCCUGGGUGAGAUGAAGGCAGACAUCGUUAAUGGAAUGUGUUGUCGCAUUUUUUGGUGGAUUGUUUUGAAAAGUAUUUCACUGGAGAACAUUAGCACAGCUUGGGCAAAAGUGCUUUGUGAAAAAAUUAAAUCCCCAUAUUUCUCUAUCUCUUUCUGCAAUUGCUCCCCUGAUGUGCUCUCUGAAAGGGUAUUUGGUAAAGGCCAAUGUAUUGGGGUUGACUCUGAAGGUCCGUGGACCACGCAUGAGCUCAAAUGCAAUUGGCCAUUGCUUUGUGAUCCUUACCACUCAGGGCCAAUGUGACAGACUCACAGCCUCUCCAACAGGCCACUUAGAAACUAUGGAGAGGGAUGAUUCAGUAGAAAGGACAUGAACUCAGGGUGGAGUGGGCUUUCUCUCCCUUUGCUCUUUCCUGAUUCUAACCUAUCUGGGCCUGGACAGUCAUAAGACUCUGCUAUGAAAAACUACCCAGUCCUUGCUGUGAAAGUCAGCAGUGCUGGGCUACUUCUUGAAAGGCAAUACCUUCUGCUCUACCAUGAUGUGAACCAGGCCCCAACCCCUGACCACAGGUGACAGGACAUAGCCCAGGGUGUUCAGAAUAAUGAGCAGCCAAUCGCAGACCAUGAGGUGAUGGGUGAGCUGGUGGGAUUAGCUCUGCCCAGACAGGGCCUAGAAGUUGCCAAAUUUAGCUCCAAACCAGCAGCAUCUCAAAGUUCCUGGGCUCUACCUACAGAGACGCCUUCACAAUCAAAGUUCAUUCUUUAAAAGACAAGAUAAGAUUUGUUCUUCAGGCAUUUGGCUCCUAUCAGAGGCUUAGGUGUGAAAAAUAACAAAAUUUGAUCUUCGUGUCCCCAAUCUUUCCAUUUUAUUUGAUGUCAUGAGUGACGUCCAAUUCUACCAGUGGUUCCCAUUCAUUUGUUCUCUGGGAUCUGCUAAUCUCAUUUACAUUCAGUCAACCCCUAAAGCACCCAGCAGAAAGCAGAGUACACAGAGGGGGAUUUCAUAAAGUGAUGUUGACCCUUCGUGGUCCCACAAGUUCAUAUGCCACUGCCUCCUCGUGAAGUCCUGCCUGAUCACCUGUUGAAAUGAAUCACUUCUUUCCCACACCUGACACCCUCUGCACCUGUCUAAGAUAACAGUCCACUCUGCCUUGGGCAUGACUUAUUCACCCAUGUGCUUCCCCACCAUUUUUCACACCCUCCCAGUGGCAUCCUAGACACUCAAGAACUGGCAUGAACUUAUUGGCUAAUUAUAAAGUCGUUUCAGCCCUGAUGUUUUGGGUUGCUUCUCCCUUUCAUGAUAAUCACACAGCUAUGGUGGACACUUCUAUGGUCCAGACACUGUCUACAUUAGGUCAUGUCUACACCUAUGCUACAACUCUGUGGAAGGAGAUACUAUCAUUGUCCUCCUUUACAGACGUGGAAACUGAAACUCAAAGAGGUUAAGGGACUUCCUCCAAGACCAUUAUCUAUGCUAGUACCAGAACUUGAACUCUAGCCUAUGUAACCCCAAAGACAGUGCUGUUGAUCUUUGUGGGACACUUCUGUUUAUAGCUGCCCAAGACAGAGUCUCCAUCUGAGCAAUGCUUCUCACCUUUGAGUUGGAAAACAAGCCCUCAUAUACAAAGAGGCAGUAACGCGUAGUGGGUCGCAACCACAGGAUGCUGAAAGUAGGGAGUGAAUGUUUGAUGAGAAAUAGAGUGGAUACAGAGUUCCACUCCCUACAAAUCAUUUAUUAACUACAAAUGAAGAAAUAGUAACUUUGCAUCGAAGCAAACUGCCAAAUACAAUCUUGACCAAAUGAUCAAAGCCAACAUCAUCAAUAUUGGGACAACAGAACAUCUCAUGUCUCCUACUGUGAUGCGCUGAGGAUACAACAUCAUUCUGGUCUUCCUGCCAAAAAUGUGUAACUUGAACACAAUCAUGAGAAAACAUUAAGAACAUGUCACAGAAAACUGGCCUGUGUUCUUUAAAAAUUAUCAAGUUCAGGAAACACAAAGAAAGACAAAGGAAUUGCUCCAGAUUAAAAGAGACUAAAGGCUCUGGAUUAAAGACAAUUAAUUGCAAUGUGUACUUUCAGGUUGCAUCCUGAACCAGGGGAAAAAAAAUAGCUAUAUAGAACAUUAUUAGGACAAUUGAUGAAAUUUGAAUAUGGACUGUGAGUUAGAUAGUAUUGUUAUGAAAAUGUUAAAUUUUCUGAUUUUUGAUAACUAUUGAGAUUAUAUAGGAGAAUAUAUUAGGAAAUGCAUACUGCAAUAUUUAGGGUUAUGUGGGCACAAGGUCUCCAACUUAAUUGGGUCAGGAAAACAAAAUAUGCAUAUCUAUGUAAAAUAUAUGCAAAGAAUAAUACAGCAAAGUAAAAACAGGUGGAUCUGGGUAAAAGUUAUAUAGAAGUUUCAUGAACAAUUCUUGUAUUUUUUCUGGAAUUUCAGUUAUAUCAAAAUUAAAAAUUGCAAAAUGUUAUAGAGUAGCAGUUGCAAGUGUAGGUACUGAAAUUGUACUGCCUGGUGUAAAUCCUGGAUCUGCCAAGUACUGGCUGUGUGACCUUGGGCAACAUACCCAACCUCUCUGUGCCUGUUUCCUUGCCUGCAAAAUGGAGAUGAUAGAGUACCUACCUCUUAGCAUUUUCUGAGACCUGAAUGAACUAAUACGCAUAGACUAGAACCUCGUGCCUCAUAAGCAUUCAGUCAUCAGUAUGGGUGAAGGUCAGUGGUUACCAAUUUCUUUGAUAUUUUCCUGUUUGCCUGUUGUGUAUGAUUUCCUGGUCUGUCAGAUUAUUUCCAGGGUGCAGCUCUAAAGACGAGCAAAUUGUUAUUAGAUUUGGAAGCCAGUUCAUCAAAUACAUGCAGUCCUCAAAGGGCACGAAUGUGUUUAACAAGAAUUAAUGAAAAAUUGGCAGCCUGAUAUUUUUGGCCCAGUCAAAAUGUGUGGAGUCUCAUUGCUAAUUAAGCCUCCUCAUUUUUCCUAGAGCAAUGCCACCUGUAGGUUUGCCUGAUUUGGGCAUUUAUUUUUCCAAAUGGCAGCUGCCUGAAAGUUUCAGGAAUCUCAGAACAAUAACUGGAAUUUAGGCUAGAAGAAGAAAUGGGAUAUCCCAAAAUUGCAACAGGAUAAGCAACCCUUUUAAAAAAAAUUGAUGGUUAGAUUUUUGUCAGAUGCCACCCAUUUAUCUAAAACUUCAAUUUUAAGUCAGAGAAUUAUCAAUUAAUAAAAAUUGAUUUAUAUUUACUAGGUAUAAGGCACCACACAGGAUGCUGUUGGGGAAUUGUAGGUAAAUGAGAUAUGGAUAUUUUUUCAGUUACUACAGCAGAGGACCUCAGUGUCCAGCGUGAAGUGACCAGAGACAGAGUGGAAUGGGAGGAGGUCACAGCAGUGGCCAGGACCAGAUUACAGGGGCCUUGGAGGCCACAGGGAGGAAUUUGGAUUUGAUUCUAAUGCUACAGGAAUCCACUGAAGAUGGCAUUAAUUGAUUUUUUUGUUUUCAGUUGAGACCAGGUCUCACUCUGUGGCCCAGGUGGAGUGCAGUGGUGUGAUCACAGCUCACUGUGGCCUCCACCUCCCAGGCUCAGGUAAUCCUCCUGCAUCAGCCUCCUAAGUAGCAGGGACCACAGGCACACACCACUAGGCUCAUGCCCAGUUAACUUUCUUAAAAAAAAUUGUGUAGAGAUGGGGUUUUUCUAUGUUCCCCAGGCUGGUAUUGAACUCCUGGGCUCAAAGGAUCCUCCCACCUUGGCCUCCCAAAGUGCUAGAUUACAGGCAUGAACGACUGCACCUGGCCUGAUUUAUAUUAAAAAAAAAAAAUUCUGCAGGGACACAAGUCAAGUUCAAAGCAGGAAGACCAGAGAGAAAGCAGCUGUUGUUCUUUAGGCAAGAGCUGGUGUUACUAGACAAGGGAUGAAGCAGCAGGAAGAGAUAAUAAUAUUUUGGAGGUACAGCUAUCAGGACUUGCCAAUGGCAUUGGAUGGGGUUGGAGCAACGGGCGGCAAGGGAAAGGCAGGAGUCAGGGAUGACUCCUAGUUUUGAAAGAAAGGUUGGCUUUGAACACAUGGCAGUGGGAAGAAGGAUAUUACAGGCAAUGUGUGAGCAGAAACAUGAGGUGAGAAAAUGGAGCCCAUGUCCAGGGAAGUAGGAGUCACUGGAAUCUUUCUGGAGAAUGAGGUGCAAAAAAGGAAGGUGUGGAAGAUACGGUUGGAGCCAGAAUGGAAAGUGCCAGACCAAAGAAAAUGCAUUUCUUUCCACAG
Molecule: long non-coding RNA, 5974 nt
Filed under: Homo sapiens (human)
Lineage: Eukaryota; Metazoa; Chordata; Mammalia; Primates; Hominidae
Description: HSALNT0001943
Source: RNAcentral